This 492-nucleotide ribosomal RNA is filed under the name uncultured bacterium. Its description in RNAcentral is "partial 16S ribosomal RNA". It matches the Rfam family "Bacterial small subunit ribosomal RNA", at positions 29 to 507 of the family's 1533-position model. The record is from RNAcentral.
AGUGAACGCUGGCGGUAGGCCUAACACAUGCAAGUCGAACGGCAGCACAGUAAGAGCGUGCUCUUCCGGGUGGCGAGUGGCGGACGGGUGAGGUAUACAUCGGACCCUACUCUUUCGUGGGGGAUAACGUAGGGAAACUUACGACAAUACCGCAUACGAUCUACGGGUGUAAGCAGGGGAUCUUCUGAGCUUGCGCGAAUGAAUGAGCCGAUGUCGGAUUUGCUAGUUGGCGGGGUAAAUGCCCACCAAGGCGACGAUCCGUAGCUGGUGUGAGUGAAGGAUAGCCCGCAUGGGAACGGAAACAGGCACAAGACUCCUACGGGAGGGAGCAGAGGGCAAUGUGAGACAAUGGUCGCAAGCCUUAUCCAGCCAUACCGCGUGGGUGAAGAAGGCGUUCGGGUUGUAAAGCCCGUUUGUUGGGAAAGAAAAGCAUCAGGUUAAUACGCCGCUGUUCUGACGGUACCCAAUGAAUAAGCACCGGCUAACUUCGUG